UUUAUUAUAUACCCCCGCGCGUGUGUGAAAUACUAGCAUAUCAAUAAAGCGGGAGGGAAAAAGAAACCAAACAGGGGAUUUGCCUUUAGUAACUGCGAGUGAAGCGGCAAAAGCUCAAAUUUGAAAUGAGGGCCCGUUGAUUGUCUGAUUAAUCAGCUCUCGACCCCUCAGUUGUAAUUUAGAGGAUUGCCAUGGUGAUAGCGCCCAUACGAAGUUCUUUGGAACAAGACACCAAUGAGGGUGAUAGUCCCGUCAGAUGAAAAAUGGUGCGCUACGGUGUCCGAUAUGGCAUAUCCGACGAGUCGAGUUGUUUGGGAAUGCAGCUCAAAAUGGGUGGUAAAUUUCAUCUAAAGCUAAAUACAGGCUGGAGACCGAUAGCGAACAAGUAGAGUGAUCGAAAGAUGAAAAGCACUUUGAAAAGAGAGUUAAAUAGUACGUGAAAUUGUUGAAAGGGAAGCGCUUGAGACCAGAUUCGGCUGGCGGUGUUCAUCCAUGCAAAUUUCUGCAUGGUGUAUGUGCCGUUGGUUGAGCCAGCAUCGGUUCUAAUGGCGGGAUAAAGGUUCGAGGAAUGUGGCUCCAAAAUUAUGCGGAGUGUUAUAGCCUUGAGUGCAAUGUCGCCUAUUGGAAUCGAGGACCGCGCUUCGGCUAGGAUGUUGGCUAAAAGGUCUUAAGCGGCCCGUCUUGAAACACGGACCAAGGAGUCUAACAUCUAUGCGAGUGUUUUGGCAUGAAACCAUUGCGCGUAAUGAAAGUGAACGAGGUGGGAACCCCCAAGUUGGGAUGCACCAUCGACCGAUCCUGAAGUUUACGGAAGGAUUUGAGUAGAAGCAUAGCUGUUGGGACCCGAAAGAUGGUGAACUAUGCCUGAAUAGGGUGAAGCCAGAGGAAACUCUGGUGGAGGCUCGCAGCGGUUCUGACGUGCAAAUCGAUCGUCAAAUUUGGGGUAUAGGGGGGCGAAAGACUAAUUCGAAACCAUUCUUAGUAGCUGGGUUCCCUGCCCGAGUUUUUUCCCCCUAAGAGAGAG
This 1024-nucleotide ribosomal RNA is filed under the name Otidea propinquata. Its description in RNAcentral is "partial large subunit ribosomal RNA". It matches the Rfam family "Eukaryotic large subunit ribosomal RNA", at positions 1 to 983 of the family's 3401-position model. The record is from RNAcentral. Lineage: Eukaryota; Fungi; Ascomycota; Pezizomycetes; Pezizales; Pyronemataceae.